CACUUAGCUCAAUGGUAGAGCAGUUGACUCUUAAUCAAUUGGUUCUGGGUUCAAGUCCCUGAGUGG
This 66-nucleotide transfer RNA is filed under the name zebrafish metagenome. It matches the Rfam family "tRNA". From Rfam's summary of the family: Transfer RNA (tRNA) molecules are approximately 80 nucleotides in length. Their secondary structure includes four short double-helical elements and three loops (D, anti-codon, and T loops). Further hydrogen bonds mediate the characteristic L-shaped molecular structure. tRNAs have two regions of fundamental functional importance: the anti-codon, which is responsible for specific mRNA codon recognition, and the 3' end, to which the tRNAs corresponding amino acid is attached (by aminoacyl-tRNA synthetases). tRNAs cope with the degeneracy of the genetic code in two manners: having more than one tRNA (with a specific anti-codon) for a particular amino acid; and 'wobble' base-pairing, i.e. permitting non-standard base-pairing at the 3rd anti-codon position. The record is from RNAcentral.